RNAcentral lists this ribosomal RNA (470 nucleotides) under uncultured bacterium. RNAcentral's name for it is "bacterial SSU rRNA". It matches the Rfam family "Bacterial small subunit ribosomal RNA", at positions 445 to 915 of the family's 1533-position model. The record is from RNAcentral.
CUUACUGGUUAAUACCCGGUGAGGCUGAGAGUACCUGAAGAAUAAGCACCGGCUAACUACGUGCCAGCAGCCGCGGUAAUACGUAGGGUGCAAGCGUUAAUCGGAAUUACUGGGCGUAAAGCGUGCGCAGGCGGACUUUUAAGCCAGAUGUGAAAGCCCCGAGCUUAACUUGGGAAUUGCGUUUGGAACUGGGAGUCUAGAGUCUGUCAGAGGGGGAUGGAAUUCCACGUGUAGCAGUGAAAUGCGUAGAGAUGUGGAGGAACACCGAUGGCGAAGGCAGUCCCCUGGGAUAAGACUGACGCUCAUGCACGAAAGCGUGGGGAGCAAACAGGAUUAGAUACCCUGGUAGUCCACGCCCUAAACGAUGUCUACUAGUUGUUGGGGUAGCAAUACCUCAGUGACGCAGCUAACGCGUGAAGUAGACCGCCUGGGGAGUACGGUCGCAAGAUUAAAACUCAAAGGAAUUGACG